GUUAUAUGGUCAAGUGAAGAAGCGCAUACGGUGGAUGCCUUGGCAGUCAGAGGCGAUGAAAGACGUGGUAGCCUGCGAAAAGCUUCGGGGAGUCGGCAAACAGACUUUGAUCCGGAGAUGUCUGAAUGGGGGAACCCAGCCAUCAUAAGAUGGUUAUCUUGUACUGAAUACAUAGGUGCAAGAGGCGAACCAGGGGAACUGAAACAUCUAAGUACCCUGAGGAAAAGAAAUCAACCGAGAUUCCCUUAGUAGUGGCGAGCGAACGGGGACUAGCCCUUAAGUGGCUUUGAGAUUAGCGGAACGCUCUGGAAAGGGCGGCCAUAGUGGGUGAUAGCCCUGUACGCGAAAAUCUCUUAGUCAUGAAAUCGAGUAGGACGGGGCACGAGAAACCUUGUCUGAAUAUGGGGGGACCAUCCUCCAAGGCUAAAUACUACUGACUGACCGAUAGUGAACUAGUACCGUGAGGGAAAGGCGAAAAGAACCCCGGAGAGGGGAGUGAAAUAGAUCCUGAAACCGUAUGCGUACAAGCAGUGGGAGCCCACUUUGUUGGGUGACUGCGUACCUUUUGUAUAAUGGGUCAGCGACUUAUUUUCAGUGGCGAGCUUAACCGAAUAGGGGAGGCGUAGCGAAAGCGAGUCUUAAUAGGGCGUCUAGUCGCUGGGAAUAGACCCGAAACCGGGCGAUCUAUCCAUGGGCAGGUUGAAGGUUGGGUAACACUAACUGGAGGACCGAACCGACUACCGUUGAAAAGUUAGCGGAUGACCUGUGGAUCGGAGUGAAAGGCUAAUCAAGCUCGGAGAUAGCUGGUUCUCCUCGAAAGCUAUUUAGGUAGCGCCUCAUGUAUCACUGUAGGGGGUAGAGCACUGUUUCGGCUAGGGGGUCAUCCCGACUUACCAAACCGAUGCAAACUCCGAAUACCUACAAGUGCCGAGCAUGGGAGACACACGGCGGGUGCUAACGUCCGUCGUGAAAAGGGAAACAACCCAGACCGUCAGCUAAGGUCCCAAAGUCAUGGUUAAGUGGGAAACGAUGUGGGAAGGCUUAGACAGCUAGGAGGUUGGCUUAGAAGCAGCCACCCUUUAAAGAAAGCGUAAUAGCUCACUAGUCGAGUCGGCCUGCGCGGAAGAUGUAACGGGGCUCAAACCAUGCACCGAAGCUACGGGUAUCACUUAGGUGAUGCGGUAGAGGAGCGUUCUGUAAGCCUGUGAAGGUGAGUUGAGAAGCUUGCUGGAGGUAUCAGAAGUGCGAAUGCUGACAUGAGUAACGACAAUGGGUGUGAAAAACACCCACGCCGAAAGACCAAGGUUUCCUGCGCAACGUUAAUCGACGCAGGGUUAGUCGGUCCCUAAGGCGAGGCUGAAAAGCGUAGUCGAUGGAAAACAGGUUAAUAUUCCUGUACUUCUGGUUAUUGCGAUGGAGGGACGGAGAAGGCUAGGCCAGCUUGGCGUUGGUUGUCCAAGUUUAAGGUGGUAGGCUGGAAUCUUAGGUAAAUCCGGGAUUCUAAGGCCGAGAGCUGAUGACGAGUUGCCAUUAGGCGACGAAGUGGUUGAUGCCAUGCUUCCAAGAAAAGCUUCUAAGCUUCAGGUAACCAGGAACCGUACCCCAAACCGACACAGGUGGUUGGGUAGAGAAUACCAAGGCGCUUGAGAGAACUCGGGUGAAGGAACUAGGCAAAAUGGCACCGUAACUUCGGGAGAAGGUGCGCCGGUGAGGGUGAAGGACUUGCUCCGUAAGCCCAUGCCGGUCGAAGAUACCAGGCCGCUGCGACUGUUUAUUAAAAACACAGCACUCUGCAAACACGAAAGUGGACGUAUAGGGUGUGACGCCUGCCCGGUGCCGGAAGGUUAAUUGAUGGGGUUAGCUAACGCGAAGCUCUUGAUCGAAGCCCCGGUAAACGGCGGCCGUAACUAUAACGGUCCUAAGGUAGCGAAAUUCCUUGUCGGGUAAGUUCCGACCUGCACGAAUGGCGUAACGAUGGCGGCGCUGUCUCCACCCGAGACUCAGUGAAAUUGAAAUCGCUGUGAAGAUGCAGUGUAUCCGCGGCUAGACGGAAAGACCCCGUGAACCUUUACUAUAGCUUUGCACUGGACUUUGAAUUUGCUUGUGUAGGAUAGGUGGGAGGCUUUGAAGCGUGGACGCCAGUUCGCGUGGAGCCAACCUUGAAAUACCACCCUGGCAACUUUGAGGUUCUAACUCAGGUCCGUUAUCCGGAUCGAGGACAGUGUAUGGUGGGUAGUUUGACUGGGGCGGUCUCCUCCUAAAGAGUAACGGAGGAGUACGAAGGUGCGCUCAGACCGGUCGGAAAUCGGUCGUAGAGUAUAAAGGCAAAAGCGCGCUUGACUGCGAGACAGACACGUCGAGCAGGUACGAAAGUAGGUCUUAGUGAUCCGGUGGUUCUGUAUGGAAGGGCCAUCGCUCAACGGAUAAAAGGUACUCCGGGGAUAACAGGCUGAUACCGCCCAAGAGUUCAUAUCGACGGCGGUGUUUGGCACCUCGAUGUCGGCUCAUCACAUCCUGGGGCUGAAGCCGGUCCCAAGGGUAUGGCUGUUCGCCAUUUAAAGUGGUACGCGAGCUGGGUUUAGAACGUCGUGAGACAGUUCGGUCCCUAUCUGCCGUGGACGUUUGAGAUUUGAGAGGGGCUGCUCCUAGUACGAGAGGACCGGAGUGGACGAACCUCUGGUGUUCCGGUUGUCACGCCAGUGGCAUUGCCGGGUAGCUAUGUUCGGGAAAGAUAACCGCUGAAAGCAUCUAAGCGGGAAACUUGCCUCAAGAUGAGAUCUCACUGGAACCUUGAGUUCCCUAAAGGGCCGUCGAAGACUACGACGUUGAUAGGUUGGGUGUGUAAGCGCUGUGAGGCGUUGAGCUAACCAAUACUAAUUGCCCGUGAGGCUUGACCAUAUAACACCCAAGCAAUU
Molecule: ribosomal RNA, 2915 nt
Filed under: Pseudomonas gingeri
Lineage: Bacteria; Pseudomonadati; Pseudomonadota; Gammaproteobacteria; Pseudomonadales; Pseudomonadaceae
Description: 23S ribosomal RNA
Rfam family: Bacterial large subunit ribosomal RNA
Source: RNAcentral